This 465-nucleotide ribosomal RNA is filed under the name uncultured bacterium. RNAcentral describes it as "partial 16S ribosomal RNA". It matches the Rfam family "Bacterial small subunit ribosomal RNA", at positions 28 to 507 of the family's 1533-position model. The record is from RNAcentral.
GACGAACGCUGGCGGCGUGCUUAACACAUGCAAGUCGAACGGUAAGGCCCCAGCUUGCUGGGGUACACGAGUGGCGAACGGGCGAGUAACCCGUGGGUGACCCGCCCUGCACUUCGGGAUAAGCCUGGGAAACUGGGCCUAAUACCGGACAGGACCGCACCGCGCGGGUGCGGUGGAAAGUUUUUUCGGUGUGGGAUGGGCCCGCGGCCUAUCAGCCUGGUGGUGGGGUAAUGGCCCACCAAGGCGGCGACGGGUCGCCGGCCUGAGAGGGUGGACGGCCACAUUGGGACUGAGAGACGGCCCAGACUGCUACGGGAGGCAGCAGCGGGGAAUAUUGCACAAUGGGCGGAAGCCUGGUGCCGCGACGCCGCGUGGGGGAUCACGGCCUUCGGGUUGUAAACGCCCUCCACCAUCGACGAAGGGUGUCUGAAGGUAGAUGGCGAAGAAGACCCGGCUAACUACGUG